Long non-coding RNA from Neopsephotus bourkii (Bourke's parrot), 254 nucleotides. RefSeq lists it as uncharacterized. The record is from RefSeq and is a predicted model, not a curated record. Lineage: Eukaryota; Metazoa; Chordata; Aves; Psittaciformes; Psittacidae. The transcript is spliced from 2 exons.
GUUUAUUUACUACCACCAUCUUUCUAUGUAAAAAUUACUUGUAGGCUUGUCACUCUAGUCCAGUAACAUGGCAAAAAUUUCAGGAACAGUUAAAAAUCAUACCGCUUAAUUUAUUUUUGCCUGCUUGUUCCUCUUCUUUCAUUUUUUUCCUUUUUAUUUCUAGGAGUUCUGCAUCAAACUUUGCUUUCCAGUUUAGGAAAUUCUCAAUGGUAACAGGAGUGCCGUGAAAACGUUGCUGAAAAAUAAACCAAACA